This 468-nucleotide ribosomal RNA is filed under the name uncultured bacterium. Its description in RNAcentral is "partial 16S ribosomal RNA". It matches the Rfam family "Bacterial small subunit ribosomal RNA", at positions 28 to 507 of the family's 1533-position model. The record is from RNAcentral.
GACGAACGCUGGCGGCGUGCUUAACACAUGCAAGUCGAACGGAAAGGCCCUGCUUGUGUGGGGUGCUCGAGUGGCGAACGGGUGAGUAACACGUGAGUAACCUGCCCUUGACUUUGGGAUAACUUCAGGAAACUGGGGCUAAUACCGUAUAGGAGCUCCUGCUGCAUGGUGGGGGUUGGAAAGUUUCGGCGGUUGGGGAUGGACUCGCGGCUUAUCAGCUUGUUGGUGGGGUAGUGGCUUACCAAGGCUUUGACGGGUAGCCGGCCUGAGAGGGUGACCGGCCACAUUGGGACUGAGAUACGGCCCAGACUCCUACGGGAGGCAGCAGUGGGGAAUAUUGCACAAUGGGCGGAAGCCUGAUGCAGCAACGCCGCGUGCGGGAUGACGGCCUUCGGGUUGUAAACCGCUUUCGCCUGUGACGAAGCGUGAGUGACGGUAAUGGGUAAAGAAGCACCGGCUAACUACGUG